GGGGAUGUAGCUCAAUUGGUAGAGCAUUAUCACACGCUUUGAUAGAGGUACGGGGUUCGAUUCCUCGCAUCUCCA
This is a non-coding RNA of Eragrostis curvula (weeping love grass), 75 nucleotides long. Lineage: Eukaryota; Viridiplantae; Streptophyta; Magnoliopsida; Poales; Poaceae. The record is from the annotation of a GenBank genome assembly.